CAGUAGCCGCGGUAAUACGUAGGGUGCAAGCGUUAAUCGGAAUUACUGGGCGUAAAGCGUGCGCAGGCGGUUUUGUAAGACAGAGGUGAAAUCCCCGGGCUCAACCUGGGAACUGCCUUUGUGACUGCAAGGCUAGAGUACGGCAGAGGGGGAUGGAAUUCCGCGUGUAGCAGUGAAAUGCGUAGAUAUGCGGAUGAACACCGAUGGCGAAGGCAAUCCCCUGGGCCUGUACUGACGCUCAUGCACGAAAGCGUGGGGAGCAAACAGGAUUAGAUACCCGCGUAGUCCCUGUCUCUUAUAC
RNAcentral lists this ribosomal RNA (301 nucleotides) under uncultured bacterium. RNAcentral describes it as "partial 16S ribosomal RNA". It matches the Rfam family "Bacterial small subunit ribosomal RNA", at positions 509 to 807 of the family's 1533-position model. The record is from RNAcentral.